Ixodes scapularis (black-legged tick) is the source of this 36-nucleotide non-coding RNA. NCBI's taxonomy places the organism in Eukaryota, Metazoa, Arthropoda, Arachnida, Ixodida, Ixodidae. The record is from Rfam.
CGGUGUUUUGCUUCAACAGUGAUUGAACGAGCAUCG